This 561-nucleotide ribosomal RNA is filed under the name Borreliella sp. Its description in RNAcentral is "bacterial SSU rRNA". It matches the Rfam family "Bacterial small subunit ribosomal RNA", at positions 47 to 602 of the family's 1533-position model. The record is from RNAcentral. Lineage: Bacteria; Pseudomonadati; Spirochaetota; Spirochaetia; Spirochaetales; Borreliaceae.
UCUUAAGCAUGCAAGUCAAACGGGAUGUAGCAAUACAUUCAGUGGCGAACGGGUGAGUAACGCGUGGAUGAUCUACCUAUGAGAUGGGGAUAACUAUUAGAAAUAGUAGCUAAUACCGAAUAAGGUCAAUUAAUUUGUUAAUUGAUGAAAGGAAGCCUUUAAAGCUUCGCUUGUAGAUGAGUCUGCGUCUUAUUAGCUAGUUGGUGGGGUAAAUGCCUACCAAGGCGAUGAUAAGUAACCGGCCUGAGAGGGUGAACGGUCACACUGGAACUGAGAUACGGUCCAGACUCCUACGGGAGGCAGCAGCUAAGAAUCUUCCGCAAUGGGCGAAAGCCUGACGGAGCGACACUGCGUGAAUGAAGAAGGUCGAAAGAUUGUAAAAUUCUUUUAUAAAUGAGGAAUAAGCUUUGUAGGAAAUGACAAAGUGAUGACGUUAAUUUAUGAAUAAGCCCCGGCUAAUUACGUGCCAGCAGCCGCGGUAAUACGUAAGGGGCGAGCGUUGUUCGGGAUUAUUGGGCGUAAAGGGUGAGUAGGCGGAUAUAUAAGUCUAUGCAUAAAAUA